Molecule: ribosomal RNA, 484 nt
Filed under: uncultured bacterium
Lineage: Bacteria
Description: partial 16S ribosomal RNA
Rfam family: Bacterial small subunit ribosomal RNA
Source: RNAcentral
AUUGAACGCUGGCGGCAGGCCUAACACAUGCAAGUCGAGCGGAUGAAGGGAGCUUGCUCCUGGAUUCCGCGGCGGACGGGUGAGUAAUGCCUAGGAAUCUGCCUGGUAGUGGGGGAUAACGUCCGGAAACGGGCGCUAAUACCGCCUACGUCCUGAGGGAGAAAGUGGGGGAUCUUCGGACCUCACGCUCUCAGAUGAGCCUAGGUCGGAUUAGCUAGUUGGUGGGGUAAAGGCCUACCAAGGCGACGAUCCGUAACUGGUCUGAGAGGAUGAUCAGUCACACUGGAACUGAGACACGGUCCAGACGACUACGGGAGGCAGCAGUGGGGAAUAUUGGACAAUGGGCGAAAGCAUGAUCCAGCCAUGCCGCGUGUGUGAAGAAGGUCUUCGGAUUGUAAAGCACUUUAAGUUGGGAGGAAGGGCAGUAAGUUAAUACCUUGCUGUUUUGACGUUACCAACAGAAUAAGCACCGGCUAACUUCGUG